AUCAGGUAAAUAGGGCAGAGGUGUAAGUACAGUAAUGUAUGUAGCUGACUGUUACUAAUAGGUCGAGGGCUUGACCA
RNAcentral lists this ribosomal RNA (77 nucleotides) under Lachnospiraceae bacterium C7. RNAcentral's name for it is "23S rRNA. Bacterial LSU". Lineage: Bacteria; Bacillati; Bacillota; Clostridia; Lachnospirales; Lachnospiraceae. The record is from RNAcentral.